AGUGAACGCUGGCGGCGUGCCUAACACAUGCAAGUCGAACGGAUAUUAAGGGCUUGCUCUUAAGGUUAGUGGCGCACGGGUGAGUAACACGUAGCUAACCUGCCCCAUAGUAAGGGACAACAGUUGGAAACGACUGCUAAUACCUUAUACUCCUUCUCUACCUAAGUAGAGUCGGGAAAGUUUUUUCGCUAUGGGAUGGGGCUGCGGCCUAUCAGCUUGUUGGGGAGGUAAUGGCUCACCAAGGCUAUGACGGGUAGCUGGUCUGAGAGGAUGAUCAGCCACAUUGGAACUGAGACACGGUCCAAACUCCUACGGGAGGCAGCAGUGGGGAAUUUUACACAAUGGGCGAAAGCCUGAUGUAGCAACGCCGCGUGGAGGAUGAAGGAUUUAGGUUCGUAAACUCCUUUUAUAAGGGAAGAAAUUUGACGGUACCUUAUGAAUAAGCACCGGCUAACUCCGUGCCAGCAGCCGCAGUAA
This 477-nucleotide ribosomal RNA is filed under the name uncultured bacterium. Its description in RNAcentral is "partial 16S ribosomal RNA". It matches the Rfam family "Bacterial small subunit ribosomal RNA", at positions 29 to 523 of the family's 1533-position model. The record is from RNAcentral.